This 492-nucleotide ribosomal RNA is filed under the name uncultured bacterium. RNAcentral's name for it is "partial 16S ribosomal RNA". It matches the Rfam family "Bacterial small subunit ribosomal RNA", at positions 29 to 507 of the family's 1533-position model. The record is from RNAcentral.
AGUGAACGCUGGCGGUAGGCCUAACACAUGCAAGUCGAACGGCAGCACAGUAAGAGCUUGCUCUUACGGGUGGCGAGUGGCGGACGGGUGAGGAAUACAUCGGAAUCUACUUUUUCGUGGGGGAUAACGUAGGGAAACUUACGCUAAUACCGCAUACGACCUACGGGUGAAAGCAGGGGAUCUUCGGACCUUGCGCGAUUGAAUGAGCCGAUGUCGGAUUAGCUAGUUGGCGGGGUAAAGGCCCACCAAGGCGACGAUCCGUAGCUGGUCUGAGAGGAUGAUCAGCCACACUGGAACUGAGACACGGUCCAGACUCCUACGGGAGGCAGCAGUGGGGAAUAUUGGACAAUGGGCGCAAGCCUGAUCCAGCCAUGCCGCGUGGGUGAAGAAGGCCUUCGGGUUGUAGAGCCCUUUUGUUGGGAAAGAAAAGCAGCAGGUUAAUACCCCGCUGUUCUGACGGUACCCAAAGAAUAAGCACCGGCUAACUUCGUG